GACGAACGCUGGCGGCGUGCCUAAUACAUGCAAGUCGAACGCUGAAGAGAGGAGCUUGCUCUUCUUGGAUGAGUUGCGAACGGGUGAGUAACGCGUAGGUAACCUGCCUUGUAGCGGGGGAUAACUAUUGGAAACGAUAGCUAAUACCGCAUAACAAUAGGUGACACAUGUCAUUUAUUUGAAAGGGGCAAUUGCUCCACUACAAGAUGGACCUGCGUUGUAUUAGCUAGUAGGUGAGGUAACGGCUCACCUAGGCGACGAUACAUAGCCGACCUGAGAGGGUGAUCGGCCACACUGGGACUGAGACACGGCCCAGACUCCUACGGGAGGCAGCAGUAGGGAAUCUUCGGCAAUGGGGGCAACCCUGACCGAGCAACGCCGCGUGAGUGAAGAAGGUUUUCGGAUCGUAAAGCUCUGUUGUAAGUCAAGAACGAGUGUGAGAGUGGAAAGUUCACACUGUGACGGUAGCUGACCAGAAAGGGACGGCUAACUACGUG
Molecule: ribosomal RNA, 497 nt
Filed under: uncultured bacterium
Lineage: Bacteria
Description: partial 16S ribosomal RNA
Rfam family: Bacterial small subunit ribosomal RNA
Source: RNAcentral